AACCAGCACCUCAAGUGGUCAGGAUGAUUAUUGGGCCUAAAGCAUCCGUAGCCGGCUCUGUAAGUUUUCGGUUAAAUCCAUAAGCUCAACUUAUGGGCUGCCGAAAAUACUGCAGAACUAGGGAGUGGGAGAGGUAGACGGUACUCGGUAGGAAGGGGUAAAAUCCUUUGAUCUAUUGAUGACCACCUGUGGCGAAGGCGGUCUACCAGAACACGUUCGACGGUGAGGGAUGAAAGCUGGGGGAGCAAACCGG
RNAcentral lists this ribosomal RNA (253 nucleotides) under uncultured archaeon. Its description in RNAcentral is "partial 16S ribosomal RNA". It matches the Rfam family "Archaeal small subunit ribosomal RNA", at positions 474 to 727 of the family's 1478-position model. The record is from RNAcentral.